GGGGUUUUAGCUAAGUCGGGAUAGCGUCAGACUGAAGUUCAAGCACAUCUGAAGGUCGCGUGUUCGAUUCACGCAAACCCCA
Glutinoglossum americanum is the source of this 82-nucleotide non-coding RNA. The record is from the annotation of a GenBank genome assembly. NCBI's taxonomy places the organism in Eukaryota, Fungi, Ascomycota, Geoglossomycetes, Geoglossales, Geoglossaceae.